UGGGGAAUAUUGCACAAUGGGGGAAACCCUGAUGCAGCGACGCCGCGUGAGUGAAGAAGUAAUUCGUUAUGUAAAGCUCUAUCAGCAGGGAAGAAAAUGACGGUACCUGACUAAGAAGCCCCGGCUAACUACGUGCCAGCAGCCGCGGUAAUACGUAGGGGGCAAGCGUUAUCCGGAUUUACUGGGUGUAAAGGGAGCGUAGACGGCCGUGCAAGUCUGAUGUGAAAGGCUGGGGCUCAACCCCGGGACUGCAUUGGAAACUGUAUGGCUGGAGUGCCGGAGAGGUAAGCGGAAUUCCUAGUGUAGCGGUGAAAUGCGUAGAUAUUAGGAGGAACACCAGUGGCGAAGGCGGCUUACUGGACGGUAACUGACGUUGAGGCUCGAAAGCGUGGGGAGCAAACA
RNAcentral lists this ribosomal RNA (402 nucleotides) under uncultured bacterium. RNAcentral's name for it is "bacterial SSU rRNA". It matches the Rfam family "Bacterial small subunit ribosomal RNA", at positions 355 to 774 of the family's 1533-position model. The record is from RNAcentral.